UAGAUUCGGUCCUGGUAUGGUAAUUUAUUGGUUUGGUUUUAUUGAUGAACUUGACUGUAAUCGUGAUAAGGGAAUUAUUCUUGCCGAUCAGUUUCCUUCCAAUUUGAUUACAUUAACAAGUCUCGUUUGGAAAGACGACUGACAAACAUCGACAUACAGUAGUUUCUGUGUAUACACUAGGUAUGUGGUGAUUCGUUAAAACUAUGAUUAAAAGCACUUGAUUCGUUAAUAGAGAGGUUCAGAUUUGACUUCCACCCGCUACCUCUUGCAAGUUAAUGGUGACGGUAGCGAAAGUCUGUUAUAUGUGCUGUAUUAAACUUCAGAAUGAUAAGAUACAACUAUCUGAAAAAUAGAAGGAGAACUUCGACGUUUUGAGCGAAGGCCCUUCCUCGGGAAGUUGAUAGUUUGCUCGAAACGUCGAAGUUAUCCGUGUAUAUAUUUCAGGUAGUACGUAGUUGCAUCCGCCUACCAAUCCUUUCUUGUCUGACACCUGCUGAUCUGCUGUUGAAAAUUUUGUAUUAGAAGACCCUGCAUGCUUGUAAAUAAUUUACGAUAAAAAAUUUUGUGGAUUGUUAAUUCAUUCAGUAUUACAAUAUUGUAGUAAUGGUAGUACUUUCAACCAGUACUUAACAUAUUUUUAACAUUG
Molecule: non-coding RNA, 646 nt
Organism: Paramuricea clavata
Lineage: Eukaryota; Metazoa; Cnidaria; Anthozoa; Malacalcyonacea; Plexauridae
Source: the annotation of a GenBank genome assembly